GGUCCCGUCGUCUAGCGGUUAGGACAUCUGGUUCUCAUCCAGAAGAUCGCGGGUUCGAGUCCCGCCGGGAUCACCA
RNAcentral lists this transfer RNA (76 nucleotides) under bacterium. RNAcentral describes it as "tRNA-Glu". It matches the Rfam family "tRNA". Rfam says of the family: Transfer RNA (tRNA) molecules are approximately 80 nucleotides in length. Their secondary structure includes four short double-helical elements and three loops (D, anti-codon, and T loops). Further hydrogen bonds mediate the characteristic L-shaped molecular structure. tRNAs have two regions of fundamental functional importance: the anti-codon, which is responsible for specific mRNA codon recognition, and the 3' end, to which the tRNAs corresponding amino acid is attached (by aminoacyl-tRNA synthetases). tRNAs cope with the degeneracy of the genetic code in two manners: having more than one tRNA (with a specific anti-codon) for a particular amino acid; and 'wobble' base-pairing, i.e. permitting non-standard base-pairing at the 3rd anti-codon position. The record is from RNAcentral.